GCGGUUGCCUCCUAAAGAGUAACGGAGGCGCCCAAAGGUUCCCUCAGCCUGGUUGGUAAUCAGGUGUUGAGUGUAAGUGCACAAGGGAGCUUGACUGUGAGACCGACGGGUCGAGCAGGGACGAAAGUCGGGACUAGUGAUCCGGCGGUGGCUUGUGGAAGCGCCGUCGCUCAACGGAUAAAAGGUACCCCGGGGAUAACAGGCUGAUCUUCCCCAAGAGUCCAUAUCGACGGGAUGGUUUGGCACCUCGAUGUCGGCUCGUCGCAUCCUGGGGCUGGAGUCGGUCCCAAGGGUUGGGCUGUUCGCCCAUUAAAGCGGUACGCGAGCUGGGUUUAGAACGUCGUGAGACAGUUCGGUCCCUAUCCGCUGUGCGCGUAGGAAUAUUGAGAAGGGCUGUCCCUAGUACGAGAGGACCGGGACGGACGAACCUCUGGUGUGCCAGUUGUUCUGCCAAGGGCAUGGCUGGUUGGCUACGUUCGGGAGGGAUAACCGCUGAAAGCAUCUAAGCGGGAAGCCUGCUUCGAGAUGAGUAUUCCCACCUCCUUGAGAGGGUAAGGCUCCCAGUAGACGACUGGGUUGAUAGGCCGGAUAUGGAAGCCCUGUAAGGGGUGGAGUUGACCGGUACUAAUAGGCCGAGGGCUUGUCCUCAGUUG
This 653-nucleotide ribosomal RNA is filed under the name Streptomyces albidoflavus. Its description in RNAcentral is "partial 23S ribosomal RNA". It matches the Rfam family "Bacterial large subunit ribosomal RNA", at positions 2279 to 2925 of the family's 2925-position model. The record is from RNAcentral. Lineage: Bacteria; Bacillati; Actinomycetota; Actinomycetes; Kitasatosporales; Streptomycetaceae.